UAAUACGGAGGGUGCGAGCGUUGUCCGGAAUCACUGGGCGUAAAGGGCGCGUAGGUGGCCGAGCAAGGUCGCGGUGAAAGCCCGGGGCUCAACCCCGGGUCGGCCGUGGCAACUACUUGGCUGGAGCACUGUAGGGGCGGGUGGAAUUCCGGGUGUAGCGGUGGAAUGCGUAGAGAUCCGGAAGAACACCGGUGGCGAAGGCGGCCCGCUGGGCAGGAAGACCUCGUAAGAGGUCGGCUGACACUGAGGCGCGACAGCGUGGGGAGCAAACAGGAUUAGAUACCCUGGUAGUCCACGCCGUAAACGAUGGGCACUAGGUGCUUGGGGGAGCGACCCUCCGAGUGCCGGCGCUAACGCAUUAAGUGCCCCGCCUGGGGAGUACGGCCGCAAGGCUG
Molecule: ribosomal RNA, 395 nt
Filed under: uncultured bacterium
Lineage: Bacteria
Description: bacterial SSU rRNA
Rfam family: Bacterial small subunit ribosomal RNA
Source: RNAcentral